GAUGAAGAACGCAGCGAAAUGCGAUAAGUAAUGUGAAUUGCAGAAUUCAGUGAAUCAUCGAAUCUUUGAACGCACAUUGCGCCCGCCAGUAUUCUGGCGGGCAUGCCUGUUCGAGCGUCAUUACAACCCUCAGGCCCCCGGGCCUGGCGUUGGGGAUCGGCGGAAGCCCCCUGCGGGCACAACGCCGUCCCCCAAAUACAGUGGCGGUCCCGCCGCAGCUUCCAUUGCGUAGUAGCUAACACCUCGCAACUGGAGAGCGGCGCGGCCACGCCGUAAAACACCCAACUUCUGAAUGUUGACCUCGAAUCAGGUAGGAAUACCCGCUGAACUUAAGCAUAUCAAUAAGCGGAGGU
Molecule: unclassified non-coding RNA, 353 nt
Filed under: soil metagenome
Description: partial contains 5.8S ribosomal RNA, internal transcribed spacer 2, and large subunit ribosomal RNA
Rfam family: 5.8S ribosomal RNA (bases 1-120)
Source: RNAcentral